UAACCGAGGUUUAGCAAAUUAUGCGCAUGCGCGUAUGAGUUACUUUGAACCAUUUUCCGGUAUUUGUCGUAAACGUUCUUCCAGUUUGGUCUUCAAGGGCAUUUUACGAACUCGAGUCAACAUGUUUCGGUUUGCUAAAGCAGCCCUGAACGUCUCCGGAAAAGGUGCCCGUCUUGUGAGGUUCAGUUCAACCCAUGCCCCCGAAUUCCAUGCGAAGUAUGGCACUGGCCUGAUGGUCGGAGGAGUCGCGUUCUGUGUGUCAGUCUGGGGAUUUGUACUAACACAAACCGGCAUCACAUGGAAUCUGUCUCCAGUUGGGAAGGUCCAACCCAAACCAUGGAGGGAUGCGGAAGAAUAAUGGACUGGGACUGCUCUCUUGAGAAAUCGACCACAGCAGACCACAAAACACUUAUUCCAGAUAUCCCUAUCAACAUUCUGGUUGUACAGAUGGAUACCCAUGUUUUUAACUUGUUGCCGUCCUGACAUUACCCAUGUAGUCAAUAAAUUAAAUGUAAACCAAA
This is a long non-coding RNA of Oncorhynchus kisutch (coho salmon), 521 nucleotides long. RefSeq lists it as uncharacterized. The transcript has 3 exons. NCBI's taxonomy places the organism in Eukaryota, Metazoa, Chordata, Actinopteri, Salmoniformes, Salmonidae. The record is from RefSeq and is a predicted model, not a curated record.